RNAcentral lists this ribosomal RNA (227 nucleotides) under uncultured bacterium. Its description in RNAcentral is "partial 16S ribosomal RNA". It matches the Rfam family "Bacterial small subunit ribosomal RNA", at positions 29 to 243 of the family's 1533-position model. The record is from RNAcentral.
AAUGAACGCUGGCGGCGCGCCUAAUACAUGCAAGUCGAGCGACGAAGGACGUAGCAAUACGUUUGUAAAGCGGCGAACGGGUGAGGAAUACAUGGGUAACCUACCCUUGAGUGGGGAAUAACUAGGCCGAAAGGUUAGCUAAUACCGCGUACGCUUCUUGGACUUCGGUUCAGGGAGGAAAGCGAUGCCGAGGGUAUCGCGCUCUUGGAUGGGCUCAUGUCCUAUCA